RNAcentral lists this long non-coding RNA (4821 nucleotides) under Sus scrofa (pig). RNAcentral's name for it is "lncRNA (ENSSSCG00000055838.1)". The record is from RNAcentral. Lineage: Eukaryota; Metazoa; Chordata; Mammalia; Artiodactyla; Suidae.
UAUGAGGUUCUAUAAUGAGCAGUUAGUUGAAUUCUGAUAAGUGAACCAUCAUUAAAUUUAAAAAAUGUUUGUUCCAUUUGUAGCACAAGCUCAGUAAUUACUUAUAAUCCAUACAUCUAGUUACAUCAAUUAUUCAUUGUAAGUCUACAGUAAUAGUUUACACAUGGCUUAACAACAAAAAACAUACUCUGAAAAUUAACAAAGUCAUUGUUUUACCUGGUGUUUACUUCUUUGGGUGCAGUGAUUUUUUAACUUGUGGUUAAUACGAAUUUUAUUUGUGGCUAAGUAUGUCAUUUCUAUGUUAAACAUACAAGAAACAACAUUAGAAAAAGAAAAUUGUACAUCUCAGUAGGUUAUAUUGUCCUUUCUGAGGACCCUCAUAAUAACUUUUUCUCUUAUGACAGCAAUUAAAAAUCAGUGAAUGUCAGAAGCCAGUCUACGUAGUAAAACCUGCUAAAUCCAUGCUGGUCCAAACCAAUUCCUUCUUUCUCUGCACUCUUCCUUAAAAUUAUAGCUAUUAUGACAAAGCUCCCAGUAAAAUAUUCUGUUGCACCUUUCCUUAAAAUUACAGAUACUACAACAAAGCUGCCAGUGAAAUUUUUGGUUACAAGAUUCUUUCCUUCCACCCUACUUUGGAUUAGAAAUUCACUGAGGAAAGAGAGCUAUUUUAGCUCUCUAUCCUAUUCCCCAUAACAUCAUACAGGAUACAGAUAAUUGGUAAGUUUGUAACAGCCCUUCAUCUCAGGGCAAAUUUGAUAAAAAAAAAAAAAAGUAUAUCAACACAAAAUCUGUUAUAAUGUCAGAGAUUGAAAAGAUAAAGUGGAAAAGUGGAAAAAUUAUCACUUAAUACACAGAAUGAUUUGCCUUUAACAAGCUUGUUAUUGUUCACAGAGGAGUAGUGGUUUGCCUUUUUCUUAUCACUAAGUUAUAAAUGUAACUGCAUUUUGCCAGAAUUCACAAUGGCAAGUUUCGGGGAUCCUAUCUAUUCUGAAUUUUUCAAUUCUGUGUCAAAUAUUAAUUCUUUUCUCUGAUAUUUCAAGGGAGAAAUCUAUUGAAAAAUCCUUCCCUAUAUUUUCCAGGCCCACUGGAUUAUGUAUUUGAACCUGACAACAAUCACUUAAUUAUUUUUAUUUCUCUACUGGAUGGGAACUACAAGAAAGCAGAGACAUUUUCCAUUUCAUCUCUACUGAAUCCACUGGGACCUGGAACAGAGUAAGAACUUAAUACACUCUUUUUCAAAUAUUGAAUCAAAGUAGAAAAGCAAGUUAUCAUUUGACUAAGAGUGUGGGUCCUGAAGUCAGACAUUCUGGAAUGGAUCUAACCACUGCAAAUUUGGUCAUGUUACCAGUUAUCAAUCUCGCUUUGCCUCAGACUCUUUAUCAAUAAACUGUAGAUGAUAACAGUAUAAUCUUCAUGGGGUUGUUAUGAGGACUGAAUAAAUAAUUCCAACUAAAGUACUUAUGUGCUUUGCACAUAUUAUGCACUCAAUAAAUGUGAUUAUUAUUAUUGUUGUUGUUACAUUAAAUAUAAGAAAUUUGAAAUUCAGAGACUUUUUAUAGCCAAGAUUACAGAUUUUGUAACAGAAGAAAAUUCUAAUUUGAGACCUGUGCUUUUUCUAUGAAGUUUUUCUGACUAGUUGGGGACAGUACAAUGAUAUUUUAUAGACAAUAUAGUUUCUAGAAGUUGAGUAAUUGCUUAGCACAAAGAGAAAAGCAAUUCUUUUCAUAGGAAGAACAGAUACAUUAAUAGUAAUUUUAUACAACUCAAGUUUUAAGACUCAACCUUGAGAGGAUUUCAGGGAAUGAGCACUGCCUUAAAAGCAUGCAUUAGGUAGUUAUGCCUGCUAGGCUAUAGGAUAUAGGAAAGUAACACAUGACUUGGGAUUGGUAGCCCUGGUCUGCAGAGGAGACCACCACUGAAUUCAGUGAUGCUGGUGCUAUGUGUCCUUUGGACUCUUCAUGGAAGAAAGUCCCCUGGUAAGUUUCCUGACCUCAUCUCAUAUAUGUAUGCCAGCAUUCACAUCUAAGCCUUUGUACUAACUCCUUUACCAUGUGCCAUGCACGCAUUCUCUCUUGGUUCACUUAGGUUCUUACUUGCUCUAGACUUCUAAAAGCUACCCUAGCAGCAAGUUUGUCCCACAGCUGUGUUCUUGCCAGAGUGUUAAAUCCAUGUCCUGAGGAAGUGCUCAUGACAAUGAAUUUCUUUUCAAGUUAAAAGAUUUUUUUAGGGAGUUCCCAUCAUGGCUCAGCAGAAACGAAUCCAACUAGCAUCCAUGAGAAUGUUAGGUUUGAUCCCUGGCCUCGCUCAGUGUCUUAAGGACCUGGUGUUGCUGUGGCUAUGGUGUAGGAUAGCAGCUAUAGCUCUAACUUGACCCCUAGCUUGAGUACUUCCAUAUGCCUUAGGUGCACGCACCCCUCCCCCAAAAAAGAUUUUUUUAAACAUUCUUGAUUUAGAUUUCCACUGAAUCACUCUAUGCUUCUUCACACCACAUUCUGCCAUUCUCUUGCAGAAGACAGCUAAACACCAGUCCUCAUCAUCACUGAGGAAUGAGUUUGACACUAAUGUACUUUUAAGAAUCUGUUUUGUAAAAAGCUAUCACAUGAUGGAUAUAUUUUCCAGCCCCCAACUAAGGUAUCAAUGUCUCUAUGUCCUUAGUUAUUGUGAGAAUAAUGAAAGUUGAGUUUGCCUCAUCACCGAAGUGGUACUUGAUGAGAACAGAGGUGACCAAUUAUUUUUUAGUUCCUCUUCUCAUUGCCUCUACCACCCCCCUAGUUGAUUCUGCUUAAAGUUUAUCUCAUUGUUUUGUUGAUUUUAUUUUCUUUGUAAAUGACUUAUUUCUGGGUGAGACAUCACCCUAUCUAUAGCUUAUUGCAAUAUUCUUCAUUUCCUAUAUUAUACUCCAUCAGAAAGAAAGAGAUCCAUCUUGCACAUGAAAUGAGAUCAUCCAAUGCCAGAUCUGCUGCAAUAUCCAUCACCCUACCAUAAGCUUAAUCAUCCAAACAGUUUAUGUUCUAUGGGUGUCCACUGUAUAUGAACUCACACCUGCAUUUGCAUAUACAAAUAGCUAAUAUCUCAGUACAUAUAUGUACAUAAGUGCAAAGGGUUAAUUGGAUAAAAUUCACUAAAUGUUAGUUAUGGUUGCUAUGAAGAGUAAAUUGGGUAGUGUUUUUUCCUUAAUAUAACUUUCAAUGUUGCAUAUGUAUUAUUUCAAUUAAUAAUUUUACUAUACAAUUUAUCAUCCAAAUCAAGACUUUUAUCAAGGGUAAAAGAGAGCACUAUUAAUACAUAUGCCAAGGAAGUAGCAUAAAGACAAACAAGACGUGUCUUCACCUGUCUAAUCCUCAUAUUUUAUAGAUAGAAACACUGGUAAAGGAUAUCAACUAGCCCCAGGAUACACUACUCAUAAUUGGCAAUGUCAGGUUUCAAAUCCAGCAUCUGUAUUUUCAAUUACUACCUCUUAGACUAUAUCUCAUCUGCCUGUUCUGGUCCCUGUGGCCAGAUGGUCUCUAUGCUCCUUCUUUCUCAACUUCCUAUGAGCUCCUCUUGUGACACUUAUCUCACUUAAUUUUAGGUUAUGGAUGUCUGUGCACCUCUCUUAUCUCUAUUCCUAAAUUGUGUACAAGCCACAUAUUUCAAAUACAACAUUGUUCCUUUCAUUGUGUCUUAGUUAUCUACAGCUGAGUAACAAAUUACCCCAAAACUUAGGGACUUGAAGAAACAAAUGUUACCAAAAUGUUUCCUUUAAGAAAGUUAUUCCAAGUUUGCAGCUGACAAGUCUUCUCUGCCUGCCCUCUGGGGUUGAGUGAUCUCCUUUCAUUUUGUUCUGUUUCUCUCUCUUUCGGUCCAAGUUUAUAGUGUUUCUGCUGAUGUAAUUCUCCUGAGAAUCUCACUUAGGUUUAUUCCAUCAGUCAAAACCCAUACCCACAAAUCCCUGAAGGGCAUUAAUGAGUUUUUAAAUUUAAUAAUUAUAUGACAUUAUUCCAUUUUCAGUGAUUAUAAAUAUUUCCCUCUGUAAUUUUUUUAAUCAGUUUUAUCAUUCAGUUGGUUGUCUCAUUCAUGAGUUAAAUACAUUUUUGACUGAUGCUCCCUCAACGUACGUAAGAAUCAAGGUUUAAGUCUUGAAAAUUAUGCUUUCAGAAUAGAUGAGUUCUCAGAAAACAUAAAAUUUCUACUACCAACAUAACUUUGUUGGGGAUGUUGAUGAUGAGAUGUCAUCGUUUCUUUUAAAUCCUGAAUUUAUGUCUUAAUAAAGUAUAAAAAUGACACGCAGGAAUGAAAGGGAGUACAGCACAAUACCCAUUGCCUCUGGGAAAAAUAAUUUGACUUAAACAGAUAGUUGGCUAAGCAGGUUUUCUCUUUCUCCUCACAAAAUCUUGUGAAAUUCCUCAGUUGAAAAGAUAGAUUGUGCUGUGAGAACAGUAGAACUGGCUUCUGGUGAAAGCUUUAAAUAUUUAAAUAUUCCAUCUAUUGGAGUGUAUAGUAGAGAAUCCAGCUUUCUAUGUGAGGCAUCAAAAAUAAAAAUCUUUCCUUUACUCUUAACAAUUUAAAGUACAUGCUAAGGAGAAAUAUUGUCAUCUUCUUUAGUCUAAGAGGCCAUGAAUUGAUAAGUAGAUGGAAUAGCUAAGUAAGUGGUCUUGAAAGACACCAUCAUAGAAGUGAGAAAUCAAAUUUCAUCAUUGCCAGACUGAAACCUCUCUCAUAGUUCAGGCAUGGGGAGCAUAGAACAUUGAUUUUGUACUUUUUAAAAGUGUUAUCUAGAAAAAGAACACUAUAGGCUCUUUAUUAUGGCAUUUUCUGCAUAUUGGAAUAAUUGGCACAAAA